AAGCUGGCAACUAAUCUGUAUAAUCAUCUUCAAGGAAAGGCAAGAAAAUAGUGUGCAGCAGCAAAGCUUUACUUUUUUUAAGAAAGCAAAGCUUCAGCUAUUUCUUCAGCAAGGAACCAAAUUCAGAAAUCAAAGUCCAAACAGAGAAUAAAUGUUUCCCUAUAGAGCUUAUAGGCAAAGAGGUAAAAACAAGCAGAUCUAAAUACCAAAUGCUAAUGUAAUAUUGGUAUCCAUAAGCAGUAGCUUCAGAUCCUAAAAUUCAUCAGCACUGCAACCACAUAUUUUUCACUCUUCUGUCUAUUUCCCCUUUCAUAUCAUUCAACUCUUUGUUUAUUGGAUCUUCAUAAACACCAAAAAUCUCAAGGAUUUACAUGCACAUUAGAAAUUAAACUUGCCUUAGCAUUCUAUUUGUAAACUGCACCAAAAGAGAGAAGCCACAGGCAUCUAGGGCGAAGAUGAACUCGCACGUAUGUACACUGGGAAGCAUGCAUAUGAAAGUUAGAAGCAUACGUUUACCUAUGGUUGUAAUCACUAUGAAUAGAAUUAGCAACUACUAUUUAUUCGUUACUUGAAUGGAAUCAACAACGGCUUUCAUGCAUUGCAUAUACGACGGCUGGCCCUAUAUGCCUCCUCUACCUUAUCUCGUAACUACUACUAAUAAUUGUUGACUGGGCUCGGCUGCUGUCUAAACAAAGACAACUGCAUUCAAGCACAGGGCAGUACCUCCUAAGACUGAAGCUUUAAUUAACAGAAGCAAGCAUCUGCCAAUUUAUUGAAGGAAGAACACCACGCCUGAAACACAGCAGGCCUAUCAACUUAAUCCAGACAUAUAAAUCUGUGGUCACACCAGCACCAUCACACCUAAAAACUUAGGAAAAGUCUGUAGUCCAUGUCACAAUUAUAAAUACUAUGUUUUCACCUUAAAUUAUCAUAAAAGAGAAAUAAAAAUACAAGAGUAAUAUAAUGCAGACCAAUGCACAACACAUCAUGUGAAGAUUUCCAAAGAUAAGCAAUCAGAUCAGUUCAGUUGCACGCAACAUGUUCAUACAACUACUUCCACAAACAGUUCAAGUAGGCUUUCAUAAACUCACUUGCACCAAUCCAUCCCUUGCGAGUAAACAGCAACCGCUAUCCAAUCACUUAUCCAGAAUGACCCAAAGCACCAAACUGAACAUAACUCUAUGACGACACUGUUCUGAAAUAUUUUCCUUCUUCAAGCUAAUUAAUAAAUUAAUAAAUUCACCCAAACUAAAUUAUCUUCUUAGCUGCUUUAAUGGAGCAUAGUAAGCACUUGUCGUUGCUGUCUGGACCCUUUUUUAGGCAGUGAUGCAUGCGCAUUUCACAC
This 1345-nucleotide long non-coding RNA is filed under the name Triticum aestivum (bread wheat). Its description in RNAcentral is "long non-coding RNA (TAES_LNC020083)". The record is from RNAcentral. Lineage: Eukaryota; Viridiplantae; Streptophyta; Magnoliopsida; Poales; Poaceae.